This 24-nucleotide non-coding RNA is filed under the name Arabidopsis thaliana (thale cress). The record is from RNAcentral. Lineage: Eukaryota; Viridiplantae; Streptophyta; Magnoliopsida; Brassicales; Brassicaceae.
AGAUCACAAGAACACACUCUUUGA